This is a non-coding RNA of Paramuricea clavata, 643 nucleotides long. NCBI's taxonomy places the organism in Eukaryota, Metazoa, Cnidaria, Anthozoa, Malacalcyonacea, Plexauridae. The record is from the annotation of a GenBank genome assembly.
UAAAGAUAAAGAAGACAAAGAUAAGGAUAAAGAAGAUAAAGAUAAGGAAGAUAAAGAUAAGGAUAAAGAUAAGGAAGAUAAAGAUAAGAAUAAAGAUAAAGAAGACAAAGAUAAGGAUAAAGAAGAUAAAGAUAAGGAAGAUAAAGAUAAGGAUAAAGAUAAGGAAGAUAAAGAAUAAGGAUAAAGAUAAAGAAGAUAAAGAUAAAGAAUAUAAAGAUAAAGAUAAGGAUAAAGAUAAGGAAGAUAAAGAUACAGAAUAAUACUGGAUAGAUGCAUUAAUGAAUAUAUAGAACGAAUACGCCAACUUAUUAUCACUUCCAGCUAGACGUUCGUGGUGUGAACAUGUCCUUCCCGUGCAAUAUAUGUGCCAAAGUAUUUUCAACAAGCGGCAACCUCAAGCGUCAUACUUUGAAUACCCAUGGAGAUGUUCAAAGCAAACCAGUUGAAAUCUCAGCAGGAUCUACAGUUUUGCAGCAUCCUUUCACAUGUAUCCUAGCUGGGCGUACCCAAAGCGGCAAGACUGUGUGGGUAAAAUCUCUCUUGGAGAAUGCACAGAAAACUAUAAGUCCUGCUCCUCAACGUAUCAUUUGGUGUUAUGGUCAAUGGCAACCCUCCUAUUUUGAUAUGAUGAGAACGAUGCCUG